This 497-nucleotide ribosomal RNA is filed under the name uncultured bacterium. RNAcentral's name for it is "partial 16S ribosomal RNA". It matches the Rfam family "Bacterial small subunit ribosomal RNA", at positions 28 to 507 of the family's 1533-position model. The record is from RNAcentral.
GAUGAACGCUGGCGGCGUGCCUAAUACAUGCGAGUCGAGCGAACAGACGAGGAGCUUGCUCCUUCGACGUUAGCGGCGGACGGGUGAGUAACACGUAGGUAACCUACCUAUAAGACUGGGAUAACUUCGGGAAACCGGAGCUAAUACCGGAUAAUAUUUCGAACCGCAUGGUUCGAUAGUGAAAGAUGGCUUUGCUAUCACUUAUAGAUGGACCUGCGCCGUAUUAGCUAGUUGGUAAGGUAACGGCUUACCAAGGCAACGAUACGUAGCCGACCUGAGAGGGUGCUCGGCCACACUGGAACUGAGACACGGUCCAGACUCCUACGGGAGGCAGCAGUAGGGAAUCUUCCGCAAUGGGCGAAAGCCUGACGGAGCAACGCCGCGUGAGUGAUGAAGGUCUUCGGAUCGUAAAACUCUGUUAUUAGGGAAGAACAAACGUGUAAGUAACUGUGCACGUCUUGACGGUACCUAAUCAGAAAGCCACGGCUAACUACGUG